AUUGAACGCUAGCGGGAUGCCUUACACAUGCAAGUCGAACGGCAGCGCGGACUUCGGUCUGGCGGCGAGUGGCGAACGGGUGAGUAAUAUAUCGGAACGUGCCUAGUAGCGGGGGAUAACUACUCGAAAGAGUGGCUAAUACCGCAUACGCCCUACGGGGGAAAGGGGGGGAUCGCAAGACCUCUCACUAUUAGAGCGGCCGAUAUCGGAUUAGCUAGUUGGUGGGGUAAAGGCCCACCAAGGCGACGAUCCGUAGCUGGUUUGAGAGGACGACCAGCCACACUGGGACUGAGACACGGCCCAGACUCCUACGGGAGGCAGCAGUGGGGAAUUUUGGACAAUGGGGGAAACCCUGAUCCAGCCAUUCCGCGUGUGCGAUGAAGGCCUUCGGGUUGUAAAGCACUUUUGGCAGGAAAGAAAUCGCACAGAUUAAUACUUUGUGUGGAUGACGGUACCUGCAGAAUAAGCACCGGCUAACUACGUGCCAGCAGCCGCGGUAAUACGUAGGGUGCAAGCGUUAAUCGGAAUUACUGGGCGUAAAGCGUGCGCAGGCGGUUCGGAAAGAGAGGUGUGAAAUCCCAGGGCUUAACCUUGGAACUGCACUUUUAACUCCCGAGCUAGAGUAUGUCAGAGGGGGGUGGAAUUCCGCGUGUAGCAGUGAAAUGCGUAGAUAUGCGGAGGAACACCGAUGGCGAAGGCAGCCCC
Molecule: ribosomal RNA, 705 nt
Filed under: Pseudomonadota bacterium
Lineage: Bacteria; Pseudomonadati; Pseudomonadota
Description: bacterial SSU rRNA
Rfam family: Bacterial small subunit ribosomal RNA
Source: RNAcentral